This 532-nucleotide ribosomal RNA is filed under the name Botryosphaeria dothidea. RNAcentral describes it as "eukaryotic LSU rRNA". The stretch from base 198 to 351 matches the Rfam family "5.8S ribosomal RNA". Lineage: Eukaryota; Fungi; Ascomycota; Dothideomycetes; Botryosphaeriales; Botryosphaeriaceae. The record is from RNAcentral.
GGAAGGGGAUGAAUUACCGAGUUGAUUCGGGCUCCGGCCCGAUCCUCCCACCCUUUGUGUACCUACCUCUGUUGCUUUGGCGGGCCGCGGUCCUCCGCGGCCGGCCCCCCCUCCCCGGGGGGUGGCCAGCGCCCGCCAGAGGACCAUCAAACUCCAGUCAGUAAACGAUGCAGUCUGAAAAACAUUUAAUAAACUAAAACUUUCAACAACGGAUCUCUUGGUUCUGGCAUCGAUGAAGAACGCAGCGAAAUGCGAUAAGUAAUGUGAAUUGCAGAAUUCAGUGAAUCAUCGAAUCUUUGAACGCACAUUGCGCCCUUUGGUAUUCCGAAGGGCAUGCCUGUUCGAGCGUCAUUACAACCCUCAAGCUCUGCUUGGUAUUGGGCACCGUCCUUUGCGGGCGCGCCUCAAAGACCUCGGCGGUGGCGUCUUGCCUCAAGCGUAGUAGAACAUACAUCUCGCUUCGGAGCGCAGGGCGUCGCCCGCCGGACGAACCUUCUGAACUUUUCUCAAGGUUGACCUCGGAUCAGUGGCA